Molecule: unclassified non-coding RNA, 246 nt
Filed under: Hevea brasiliensis (rubber tree)
Lineage: Eukaryota; Viridiplantae; Streptophyta; Magnoliopsida; Malpighiales; Euphorbiaceae
Source: RNAcentral
AGAUCCGUUGUAACUGGGCAGCCAAAGGUGCUGGAGUGAACGAAGAUAAACAGAGCUCAGAUACCAAAAGUGUGGUAGAACUAUCAAAUGGUUCAUCUGAAGAUGGUAAAGAGUCUGUUAAUAAUGAGGCUCCUGAGAACAAUCUUCAAUAUACUACUGUAUACGUGGGCAAUCUUGCUCCAGAGGUCACUCAACUUGAUCUACAUCGCCAUUUUCAUUCUCUUGGUGCUGGGGUCAUUGAGGAAG